This 443-nucleotide ribosomal RNA is filed under the name uncultured bacterium. Its description in RNAcentral is "partial 16S ribosomal RNA". It matches the Rfam family "Bacterial small subunit ribosomal RNA", at positions 338 to 795 of the family's 1533-position model. The record is from RNAcentral.
CCUACGGGUGGCAGCAGUGGGGAAUAUUGGGCAAUGGGCGCAAGCCUGACCCAGCAACGCCGCGUGAAGGAAGAAGGCUUUCGGGUUGUAAACUUCUUUUCUCAGGGACGAAGCAAGUGACGGUACCUGAGGAAUAAGCCACGGCUAACUACGUGCCAGCAGCCGCGGUAAUACGUAGGUGGCAAGCGUUAUCCGGAUUUACUGGGUGUAAAGGGCGUGUAGGCGGGAAAGCAAGUCAGAUGUGAAAACCAUGGGCUCAACCUGUGGCCUGCAUUUGAAACUGUUUUUCUUGAGUACUGGAGAGGCAGACGGAAUUCCUAGUGUAGCGGUGAAAUGCGUAGAUAUUAGGAGGAACACCAGUGGCGAAGGCAGCAUACCGGCGCGCAACUGACGCUCAUGCACGAAAGCGUGGGUAUCGAACAGGAUUAGAUACCCGAGUAGUC